CCUACGGGAGGCAGCAGUGAGGAAUAUUGGUCAAUGGGCGCGAGCCUGAACCAGCCAAGUAGCGUGAAGGAUGACUGCCCUACGGGUUGUAAACUUCUUUUAUCAAGGAAUAAAGUGCGGCACGUGUGCCUUUUUGUAUGUACUUUAUGAAUAAGGAUCGGCUAAGCCCGUGCCAGCCGCCGCGGUAAUACGGAGGGUCCGAGCGUUAUCCGGAUUUAUUGGGGUUAAAAGGUGCGUAGAUGGGUUGUUAAGUCAGUUGUGAAAGUUUGCGGGUCAACCGUAAAAUUGCAAUUGAUACUGGCAGCCUUGAGUACAGGUGAGGUAUGCGGAAUUCGUGGUGUAGCGGUGAAAUGCUUAGAUAUCACGAAGAACUCCGAUUGCGAAGGCAGCCUACUAAACUGCCACUGACAUUGAUGCUCGAAAGUGUGGGUAUCAAACAGGAUUAGAUACCCCUGUAGUC
Molecule: ribosomal RNA, 460 nt
Filed under: uncultured bacterium
Lineage: Bacteria
Description: partial 16S ribosomal RNA
Rfam family: Bacterial small subunit ribosomal RNA
Source: RNAcentral